GGCGGGGUAGCUUAGUUGGCUAGAGCGUUCGGUUCAUACCCGGAAGGUCGUGGGUUCGAGUCCCACUUCCGCUACCA
RNAcentral lists this transfer RNA (77 nucleotides) under Erysipelotrichaceae bacterium. RNAcentral describes it as "tRNA-Met". It matches the Rfam family "tRNA". From Rfam's summary of the family: Transfer RNA (tRNA) molecules are approximately 80 nucleotides in length. Lineage: Bacteria; Bacillati; Bacillota; Erysipelotrichia; Erysipelotrichales; Erysipelotrichaceae. The record is from RNAcentral.